Molecule: ribosomal RNA, 474 nt
Filed under: uncultured bacterium
Lineage: Bacteria
Description: bacterial SSU rRNA
Rfam family: Bacterial small subunit ribosomal RNA
Source: RNAcentral
GGCUACAGAAUCAACGCUGGCGGCGUGCCUCAGACAUGCAAGUCGAACGAUUAAAGCUCUCUUCGGAGAGUGUAUAGAGUGGCGCACGGGUGAGUAACACGUAAGUAAUCUACCCUCGAGUGGGGAAUAACAACCGGAAACGGUUGCUAAUACCGCAUAAUGCAGCGGCACCGCAAGGUGACAGUUGUUAAAGAUUUAUCGCUUGAGGAGGAGCUUGCGGCAGAUUAGCUAGUUGGUAGGGUAAACGGCUUACCAAGGCUACGAUCUGUAACCGGUCUAAGAGGACGGUCGGUCACACUGACACUGAAUAACGGGUCAGACUCCUACGGGAGGCAGCAGUCGGGAAUUUUGGGCAAUGGGCGAAAGCCUGACCCAGCAACGCCGCGUGAAGGAUGAAGUAUUUCGGUAUGUAAACUUCGAAAGAAUAGGAAGAAUUAAUGACGGUACUAUUUAUAAGGUCCGGCUAACUACGUG